This is a small nucleolar RNA of Gastrolobium bilobum, 113 nucleotides long. RefSeq annotates it as small nucleolar RNA Z103. Lineage: Eukaryota; Viridiplantae; Streptophyta; Magnoliopsida; Fabales; Fabaceae. The transcript has a single exon. The record is from RefSeq and is a predicted model, not a curated record.
AUAGAUAUGAGGAGACUUUCCCCAAAUGAUCGAAGUUGAUUUUAACUUUGCUAUUUACAUAAUUCACUCUUCUUCAAGGAGGAUUGAAUUUAUAAGCCAGAACUCUGAUCUUC